Molecule: ribosomal RNA, 451 nt
Filed under: uncultured bacterium
Lineage: Bacteria
Description: partial 16S ribosomal RNA
Rfam family: Bacterial small subunit ribosomal RNA
Source: RNAcentral
GUGGGGAAUAUUGGACAAUGGGGGGAACCCUGAUCCAGCCAUGCCGCGUGUGUGAAGAAGGCCUUUUGGUUGUAAAGCACUUUAAGCGAGGAGGAGGCUACCGAGAUUAAUACUCUUGGAUAGUGGACGUUACUCGCAGAAUAAGCACCGGCUAACUCUGUGCCAGCAGCCGCGGUAAUACAGAGGGUGCAAGCGUUAAUCGGAUUUACUGGGCGUAAAGCGCGCGUAGGUGGCCAAUUAAGUCAAAUGUGAAAUCCCCGAGCUUAACUUGGGAAUUGCAUUCGAUACUGGUUGGCUAGAGUAUGGGAGAGGAUGGUAGAAGUCCAGGUGUAGCGGUGAAAUGCGUAGAGAUCUGGAGGAAUACCGAUGGCGAAGGCAGCCAUCUGGCCUAAUACUGACACUGAGGUGCGAAAGCAUGGGGAGCAAACAGGAUUAGAUACCCUGGUAGUCC